This 96-nucleotide transfer RNA is filed under the name Fibroporia radiculosa. It matches the Rfam family "tRNA". From Rfam's summary of the family: Transfer RNA (tRNA) molecules are approximately 80 nucleotides in length. Their secondary structure includes four short double-helical elements and three loops (D, anti-codon, and T loops). Lineage: Eukaryota; Fungi; Basidiomycota; Agaricomycetes; Polyporales; Fibroporiaceae. The record is from Rfam by way of RNAcentral.
GUUCCCAUCGAUUAGUGGUCAGAUCAUCACGUUGUGGACGCAGCUUCGGCUUGCGGCGAAACCGUGGGGACGGGGGCUCGAAUCCCCCUGGGAACA